AUGGGUUCGUCUCUUUGUUCUUUUUUUCCUGAUCUUUUUCUCGUUUCUACUACUGGUUUCUCUCUAAUUUCUUUCCUCUUCUAUCUCUCAGUUUUUCUCCUCAAUGUUUUUGUUGAUGAUGAUAGAGUUUUAGGAGGUUUUGCAGGUUUCUUGUUGCAAGUCUUUGGACUAUUUAUGAUACACUGCAACAAUAUGGUUAAAGUGGACAACAAAGAGGCUUUGGAGUAUAGUAUUUGA
Molecule: non-coding RNA, 237 nt
Organism: Vicia faba (fava bean)
Lineage: Eukaryota; Viridiplantae; Streptophyta; Magnoliopsida; Fabales; Fabaceae
Source: the annotation of a GenBank genome assembly